This 1454-nucleotide ribosomal RNA is filed under the name metagenome. Its description in RNAcentral is "bacterial LSU rRNA". It matches the Rfam family "Bacterial large subunit ribosomal RNA", at positions 1448 to 2925 of the family's 2925-position model. The record is from RNAcentral.
AGUAUGACAGAACUGUGGGGACACGUAAGGAGAGCGGGAGCCGGGAAUGGAAAGCCCGGUACAAGCGAGGUACCAGUACGGUAGGAAAAUCCGCCGUGCAAUGGGAAGACGUGAUGUGGAGCGAAAUUUAGUGGCGAAGCCCGUGAGCCAUGCGUCAAGAAAAGCCGCUAUUGUUUAUACUGUACCCGUACCGUAAACCGACACAGGUGGAUGAGGAGAGAAUCCUAAGGCCGGCGGAAGAAGUAUCGCCAAGGAACUCGGCAAAAUGGCCCCGUAACUUAGGGAGAAGGGGUGCCUGCGAGAGCAGGCCGCAGAGAAUAGGCUCAAGCAACUGUUUAGCAAAAACACAGGUCUAUGCGAAACCGAAAGGUGAGGUAUAUGGGCUGACGCCUGCCCGGUGCUGGAAGGUUAAGAGGAGAGGUUAGCGGUAACGCGAAGCUUUGAAUUUAAGCCCCAGUAAACGGCGGCCGUAACGAUAACGGUCCUAAGGUAGCGAAAUUCCUUGUCGGGUAAGUUCCGACCCGCACGAAAGGCGUAAUGAUUUGAGCGCUGUCUCGGCAAUACAUCCGGUGAAAUUGAAGUGCCAGUGAAGAUGCUGGCCACCCGCGCCAGGACGGAAAGACCCCAUGGAGCUUUACUCCAGUUUGGCACUGGGGUCCGGUGUUGCGUGUACAGGAUAGGUGGGAGGCUGAGAAACGGUAACGUCAGUUGCCGCGGAGCCGCUGUUGGGAUACCACCCUUGUGAUAUUGGGCUUCUAACCAGCCGCCGUGAUCCGGCGGUGGGACAAUGCCAGGCGGGGAGUUUGACUGGGGCGGUCGCCUCCGAAAGGGUAUCGGAGGCGCCCAAAGGUUCCCUCAGAAUGGACGGAAACCAUUCGAAGAGUGCAAAGGCAGAAGGGAGCUUGACUGCGACACCGACGGGUGGAGCAGGUACGAAAGUAGGGCUUAGUGAUCCGGUGGUAUUAAGUGGGAAUGCCAUCGCUCAACGGAUAAAAGCUACCCUGGGAUAACAGGCUUAUCACUCCCAAGAGUUCACAUCGACGGAGUGGUUUGGCACCUUGAUGUCGGCUCAUCGCAUCCUGGGGCUGUAGUAGGUCCCAAGGGUUGGGCUGUUCGCCCAUUAAAGCGGUACGCGAGCUGGGUUCAGAACGUCGUGAGACAGUUCGGUCCCUAUCCGGCGUGGGCGUAGGAUAUCUGAGAGGAGCUGUCCUUAGUACGAGAGGACCGGGAUGGACGGACCGCUGGUGGACCGGUUGGCUUGCCAAAGCCAUGGCCGGGUAGCCAAGUCCGGAAGGGAUAAACGCUGAAGGCAUCUAAGCGUGAAGCCCCCCUCAAGAUGAGAUAUCCCAUUCUUAUGAAGUAAACCCCCUUGAAGACGACGAGGUAGAUAGGGCAGGGGUGGAAGUGUGGCAACACAUGGAGCUGACUGUUACUAAUCGGGUGAGGGCUUGACC